CUACGGGAGGCAGCAGUGGGGAAUCUUGCGCAAUGCGCGAAAGCGUGACGCAGCAACGCCGCGUGGGGGAAGAAGGCCUUCGGGUUGUAAACCUCUUUCAGUUGGGACGAAGCUUCGGCGGUGAAUAGCCGCCUGGAGUGACGAUACCUUCACAAGAAGCCCCGGCUAACUACGUGCCAGCAGCCGCGGUAAUACGUAGGGGGCAAGCGUUGUCCGGAAUCAUUGGGCGUAAAGCGCGUGUAGGCGGCUCGGUAAGUCCGCUCUGAAAGUCCAAGGCUCAACCUUGGGAUGCGGGUGGAUACUGCCGGGCUCGAGUCCGGAAGAGGCGAGUGGAAUUCCUGGUGUAGCGGUGAAAUGCGCAGAUAUCAGUAGGAACACCGAUGGCGAAGGCAGCUCGCUGGGACGUGACUGACGCUGAGGUGCGAAAGCGUGGGGAGCAAACAGGAUUAGAUACCCGGGUAGUCC
This 465-nucleotide ribosomal RNA is filed under the name uncultured bacterium. Its description in RNAcentral is "bacterial SSU rRNA". It matches the Rfam family "Bacterial small subunit ribosomal RNA", at positions 339 to 796 of the family's 1533-position model. The record is from RNAcentral.